CUGAGAGCAAUGAUAUAGACGUAAGAGAGGCAGAGAGCUUGGACAAAUUGAUAAGAAGUCUUGAGGCAUGUAGUACAGACACCCAGCUCAAGUAUCAGAAAGCAAACUAUUGUCACUUUUAUCUGAGCGCCAACAGAUUCCGCAGCACUGCCCAUGGGUACAUGGAUAACAGUAUAAUGGAGAACCAAUACGACAACAUUUUAUAGAAAAAAAACAGGGGGAAUUGAGGGCCCUAUUCCCGUGGGAACUUACAUUCUAGAUGAACAUAAUCAAAUUACCAAUCAACUAUAAAGAUAUUAUCCUAAGUGGUUUUGCUCCAUCUCAUCUCUGUGAAGAGACGAAACUUCAAGAAAGUUUUCCUCAUCCUAUACAGUCUUCAAGAGGAUUUUCAUUCUUUCCUGAUAAGAUGGAGCUUUCUUCACGGAUGAUUCUUCAAUUCAAAGUUCUUCUCUUCAUGGUCGUCUGCUGUCUUCUCGUCUGGAACUACUUCUUCAUUAUGGACUUUUUGUUUCCUUCUACAGUUACAAAGAAAGAGGAUGUCUUACUGUAUAUUGGACAGUUUAUAGGAUUCAUUAGUAACCUGAUUGGCUAUGUGGUUUUAG
Bombina bombina (fire-bellied toad) is the source of this 602-nucleotide long non-coding RNA. RefSeq lists it as uncharacterized. The record is from RefSeq and is a predicted model, not a curated record. The transcript is spliced from 4 exons. Lineage: Eukaryota; Metazoa; Chordata; Amphibia; Anura; Bombinatoridae.